GACGAACGCUGGCGGCGUGCCUAAUACAUGCAAGUCGAACGAGAGCAACCGGUGCUUGCACUGGUCAAUCUAGUGGCGAACGGGUGAGUAACACGUGGGUAACCUGCCCAUCAGAGGGGGAUAACAUCCGGAAACGGAUGCUAAAACCGCAUAGGUCUUCGAACCGCAUGGUUUGAAGAGGAAAAGAGGCGCAAGCUUCUGCUGAUGGAUGGACUCGCGGUGCAUUAGCUAGUUGGUGAGGUAACGGCUCACCAAGGCCGUGAUGCAUAGCCGACCUGAGAGGGUGAUCGGCCACAUUGGGACUGAGACACGGCCCAAACUCCUACGGGAGGCAGCAGUAGGGAAUCUUCCGCAAUGGACGCAAGUCUGACGGAGCAACGCCGCGUGAGUGAAGAAGGUUUUCGGAUCGUAAAACUCUGUUGUUAGAGAAGAACAAGUGCUAGAGUAACUGUUAGCGCCUUGACGGUAUCUAACCAGAAAGCCACGGCUAACUACGUG
Molecule: ribosomal RNA, 498 nt
Filed under: uncultured bacterium
Lineage: Bacteria
Description: partial 16S ribosomal RNA
Rfam family: Bacterial small subunit ribosomal RNA
Source: RNAcentral